RNAcentral lists this long non-coding RNA (639 nucleotides) under Gallus gallus (chicken). Lineage: Eukaryota; Metazoa; Chordata; Aves; Galliformes; Phasianidae. The record is from RNAcentral.
CAGAACGGAAGUGUUGGCAGGGAGCGCCGCGGGCCGGGUGCAGGUGAGUGGUGCCCGGGGCCGGCUCGCGCAUUGGGGCCUUAGCGGCUACGUGGGCCUCGGGGCCGCUUCUCGGGUCUGUCUUCGCCUCAGGCGCUCUGCGGCCCCGCCGGACCAAUGUCCCGACCGCCCUGGACGCUGGCUGCUGCAGGGUCCCGCUCUAACAGCCCUCUUUCGCAGCACUGUUAGGGGCCUGGCUUAGGCCUAGAGGCGUCAGGGCACUUCACCUCCUCAGCUUAGUAAUAGCAGGUGUUGUUACAGGCCUACUUGGAGCCAUGCCGUGUGAUGCUUUCACUGGCUGAUAACCUAGGGCAGAGAAACUGUGCCUUGCUCUGGACAACUGGGCUGCCUCGGUGAGGCUGAGGUGUGGCUGCUUCUCACUUUAGUUCUGCAUGUCAGCCAGCGAGGUCUGAUGUAUAAACCAGAAAUACAUUGACUGGGGGGCACCCGAUAUGAUAGCAGGACCCAAACCUGAUUUCUUUUGUAAAAGAUUGCAAACUUGGAUGUUGAAUGCAAGCUUGAGAAUGGGGAUAAAAACUAGAAGAGGGGAGAUUUAGAUUGGACGUUAGGAGGAAGGUUUUUACGGCAAGAGUGGUGAGG